RNAcentral lists this long non-coding RNA (522 nucleotides) under Homo sapiens (human). RNAcentral's name for it is "HSALNT0341692". Lineage: Eukaryota; Metazoa; Chordata; Mammalia; Primates; Hominidae. The record is from RNAcentral.
AGGCUCACCAUGAUGAGACUUGCUGUCUACCUUGAAUACAUGUUUUAUGUAGGUGACUAAAGUAGCACAGCGAUUAUAUACUAGGAAACUGAUACUAUCAGAAGAAUGAUUUGUUACACAAAAUGGAAGACGUUUUGUUCACAGAACUGUGGGCCCAACCUACUACACGAGUCCUUUCAAGAGAGGAAACGUUCCUGGCUGCAGCUAGAGAGAGAUGGCAGCGUGAGGAGGCUCUGACUUGCUGCAGCUGCCCUGAAGAUACGGGAAGGGUGUCACCGGCUAUGGGGUGCUGGAGGCCUCUGGAAGUGGAUUCUCUUCUAACAACUACAGAAAAGAAUGCUGUUGUGCUGACAUUUUGAUUUUAGCCCAGUGACAUCUGUGCUGGAUUUCUGACCUACAGUACUAUAAGGUUCUCCUGUAGAACUUCCCAGGCAGAAGAAAAGAUAAUUCUAAUGGUUCUGCUGUGGAGCAGAGAGUCACAGCUUGCAUCACAGUCCACGGAUCACCAAGAGGAACCUUACU